UGAGAUUUAUUGCAGUAAGGGUCGUAAUCCCAUGAUUAACAUUAGUUCACGCAGUUACCAAAUUCUGGUAUACAACACCACCCUUAAGUCUCUCACUCUUGCUCCUAUGGAUAAUUCCGAUAGUGUGCUUUGUCUCCGGCGCCUUGUCAAUACUCAACACCUCUUUGAAUCUCCCCCCUUUCCGCGCUGCUUGGAAUACACGGAACAUAUCGCUCUUUUACGACUGCCCCGCCGUUGCGAAUCAGUAUGAAGGGCUUGCUAAUCAUCAGUUCAAUUGCAGCAUGAAUGGAACUGAUACUUUAGGCUACUUCGUGGUCACAUCUUUCUUUUCUAACCUCUCGGUUGCAGCAAAUGAUGCCUUGAGAUCAUGUUACAGUAAAGUUCUCGUCCCAGCAUUCGCUUGAUAUUACAGGUUUUGGAGCACAGUCCAAGUCAAGAUACUCUGAAUGUCACACUUGAUAAUGGCUUUGCCGUGCAAUGGGAAGAAAACAAUCCCAUCUCAGGGUCAUCAGAUGGCUUCAGUUCAACAUUUAAGUUAGCCGUAGGCAUGGGAGUGGCUGGAGUUGUUGUUUUGGUAGUCGCGUGAUGGCGGUAACUUUCCGAAUUAAGAAAGAAUCAUUGUCAAGAGGAGUGCUAUUGAAGUUACAACGAGGGAAAGGAAGUAAUGGGAAAGG
This is a long non-coding RNA of Hibiscus syriacus, 674 nucleotides long. RefSeq lists it as uncharacterized. Lineage: Eukaryota; Viridiplantae; Streptophyta; Magnoliopsida; Malvales; Malvaceae. The record is from RefSeq and is a predicted model, not a curated record. The transcript is spliced from 3 exons.